CUUAACACAUGCAAGUCGAGCGGAAACGAUGAUAGCUUGCUAUCAGGCGUCGAGCGGCGGACGGGUGAGUAAUACUUAGGAAUCUACCUAGUAGUGGGGGAUAGCUCGGGGAAACUCGAAUUAAUACCGCAUACGACCUACGGGAGAAAGGGGGCAACUUGUUGCUCUCGCUAUUAGAUGAGCCUAAGUCGGAUUAGCUAGAUGGUGGGGUAAAGGCCUACCAUGGCGACGAUCUGUAGCUGGUCUGAGAGGAUGAUCAGCCACACCGGGACUGAGACACGGCCCGGACUCCUACGGGAGGCAGCAGUGGGGAAUAUUGGACAAUGGGGGCAACCCUGAUCCAGCCAUGCCGCGUGUGUGAAGAAGGCCUUUUGGUUGUAAAGCACUUUAAGCAGUGAAGAAGACUCCGUGGUUAAUACCCAUGGACGAUGACAUUAGCUGCAGAAUAAGCACCGGCUAACUCUGUGCCAGCAGCCGCGGUAAUACAGAGGGUGCAAGCGUUAAUCGGAAUUACUGGGCGUAAAGCGAGCGUAGGUGGCUUGAUAAGUCAGAUGUGAAAUCCCCGGGCUUAACCUGGGAACUGCAUCUGAUACUGUUAGGCUAGAAUAGGUGAGAGGAAGGUAGAAUUCCAGGUGUAGCGGUGAAAUGCGUAGAGAUCUGGAGGAAUACCGAUGGCGAAGGCAGCCUUCUGGCAUCAUAUUGACACUGAGGUUCGAAAGCGUGGGUAGCAAACAGGAUUAGAUACCCUGGUAGUCCACGCCGUAAACGAUGUCUACUAGUCGUUGGGUCCCUUGAGGACUUAGUGACGCAGCUAACGCAAUAAGUAGACCGCCUGGGGAGUACGGCCGCAAGGUUAAAACUCAAAUGAAUUGACGGGGGCCCGCACAAGCGGUGGAGCAUGUGGUUUAAUUCGAUGCAACGCGAAGAACCUUACCUGGUCU
This 941-nucleotide ribosomal RNA is filed under the name uncultured Gammaproteobacteria bacterium. RNAcentral describes it as "bacterial SSU rRNA". It matches the Rfam family "Bacterial small subunit ribosomal RNA", at positions 47 to 981 of the family's 1533-position model. The record is from RNAcentral. Lineage: Bacteria; Pseudomonadati; Pseudomonadota; Gammaproteobacteria.